GACGAACGCUGGCGGCGUGCCUAAUACAUGCAAGUAGAACGCUGAAGAGAGGAGCUUGCUCUUCUUGGAUGAGUUGCGAACGGGUGAGUAACGCGUAGGUAACCUGCCUUGUAGCGGGGGAUAACUAUUGGAAACGAUAGCUAAUACCGCAUAACAAUGGAUGACACAUGUCAUUUAUUUGAAAGGGGCAAUUGCUCCACUACAAGAUGGACCUGCGUUGUAUUAGCUAGUAGGUGAGGUAAUGGCUCACCUAGGCGACGAUACAUAGCCGACCUGAGAGGGUGAUAGCCCCCCCUGGAAUGGGACCACGCCCCAGCCUCCUACGGGAGGCACCAGAAGGGAAUCUCCGGCAAUGGGGCAACCCUGACCGAGCAACGCCGCGUGAGUGAAGAAGGUUUUCGGAUCGUAAAGCUCUGUUGUAAGUCAAGAACGGGUGUGAGAGUGGAAAGUUCACACUGUGACGGUAGCUUACCAGAAAGGGACGGCUAACUACGUG
RNAcentral lists this ribosomal RNA (496 nucleotides) under uncultured bacterium. Its description in RNAcentral is "partial 16S ribosomal RNA". It matches the Rfam family "Bacterial small subunit ribosomal RNA", at positions 28 to 507 of the family's 1533-position model. The record is from RNAcentral.